CCGCGUGAGUGAUGAAGGCUUUCGGGUCGUAAAGCUCUGUCAAGUGGGAAGAAUUCCCAUGAGGUUAAUAUCCUCAUGGUUUGACGGUACCACUGAAGGAAGCACCGGCUAACUCCGUGCCAGCAGCCGCGGUAAUACGGGGGGUGCAAGCGUUAUUCGGAUUUACUGGGCGUAAAGCGCGCGUAGGCGGCUGUUUAAGUCAGAUGUGAAAGCCCGGGGCUCAACCCCGGAAGUGCAUUUGAUACUAUUCGGCUUGAGUAUGGGAGAGGGAAGUGGAAUUCCUGGUGUAGAGGUGAAAUUCGUAGAUAUCAGGAGGAACCCGGUGGCGAAGGCGACUUCCUGGACCAAUACUGACGCUGAGGCGCGAAGCGUGGGGAGCAAACAGGAUUAGAUACCUGGUAGUCCNGCAGUAAACGGUGAUCCUAGUGUAGCGGGUAUUGACCCCUGCUGUGCCGCACUACGCAUUAAGUGAUCCGCUGGGAGUACGC
RNAcentral lists this ribosomal RNA (488 nucleotides) under uncultured bacterium. RNAcentral's name for it is "bacterial SSU rRNA". It matches the Rfam family "Bacterial small subunit ribosomal RNA", at positions 397 to 885 of the family's 1533-position model. The record is from RNAcentral.